CAAUUAGAUUGCUCUACAGUCUAUGCCCAUUGCUUUGGUGCAGAAAUUGCUUUGGGUAUCCAACUAGUGCAUAAUAUGUAUAUGUGUGUAUGCACAUACAUGGCAUAUUUUUUAACUACGACGAGGGAUUAGAGACGGUGUAUAGAUUUUGUACAUGUUUAGGCAGAUACUAUUAAAAGGUAGAAUACAAAGACCCAUAUAUGUAUCUGUAUAUGGAAAAUAGGCAGUGACGACCGACAUGGGUAU
RNAcentral lists this long non-coding RNA (246 nucleotides) under Carica papaya (papaya). Its description in RNAcentral is "long non-coding RNA (CPAP_LNC012598)". Lineage: Eukaryota; Viridiplantae; Streptophyta; Magnoliopsida; Brassicales; Caricaceae. The record is from RNAcentral.